Molecule: long non-coding RNA, 664 nt
Filed under: Xyrichtys novacula (pearly razorfish)
Lineage: Eukaryota; Metazoa; Chordata; Actinopteri; Labriformes; Labridae
Source: RNAcentral
AAAAAAAAAGCGUCCCAGGUGGGAGCGAGAAGACUGACACAACAGCAGACUGACUGUUUUUCAGUUCUGAUUAGACACUAGUGUUGAGAUGUCUGUCUGUCAUGAUAACAUGUACUGAGUCGGGGCCAGUACCAGAUAAGCACUUUAAACUAUAAUCCAUAAACGUAAGGUAACAACCGAGACCUAAUGGUGCUGUGACAGCAACGCCAUUGAGUUUGAGACAGUGAAAAUACAUAUGGUAUGUUGUAUCUGAACAGGUUAGCUUACGAGCUAAAGUUACUUAGCACAGAUGAAAGUUAAAACAAAGACGUUUAGCAAACUGUUAAAGCACACAAACCAUCGUCAUAUGAGAAAUCCGACGCUAUGACUCUCCACAAGUUGUCUUUCAGGUCGUUAUCUUUGUAAUAUUUGUGUUUUUUAUCAAAAAGCACUCUGUUCUCCGACACGUAAACAAUCAGCCGGUCGGCCAUGUUGGAUAUACCGGUGAAUCUGACGUCGCAACAACACGAAAUCCGAUUGGUCAGAAGUGGACACACAGUAUGCAAAACUUUAGAAAAUUCGACUGUGAUAUGAAAAAAUAAAUGCCGCAAUAUCGCAGGACGGGAAAACGUUGCUGAUGUAAACGCUUGUAUUGACAGGAUACAGGUUUGAAAAAAAAUAUUGA